RNAcentral lists this transfer RNA (74 nucleotides) under Chloroflexota bacterium. Its description in RNAcentral is "tRNA-Pro". It matches the Rfam family "tRNA". Rfam says of the family: Transfer RNA (tRNA) molecules are approximately 80 nucleotides in length. Their secondary structure includes four short double-helical elements and three loops (D, anti-codon, and T loops). Lineage: Bacteria; Bacillati; Chloroflexota. The record is from RNAcentral.
CGGGGCGUGGCGCAGCCUGGUAGCGCGCAUCCUUUGGGAGGAUGAAGUCGGAGGUUCGAGUCCUCCCGCCCCGA